UACGGAGGAUGCGAGCGUUAUCCGGAUUUAUUGGGUUUAAAGGGUGCGUAGGCGGGUUAUUAAGUCAGCGGUGAAAGUUUUCGGCUCAACCGGAAAAUUGCCGUUGAAACUGAUAGUCUUGAGUAUAGACGAGGUAGGCGGAAUUCGUAGUGUAGCGGUGAAAUGCAUAGAUAUUACGAAGAACUCCGAUAGCGCAGGCAGCUUACCAGACUAUAACUGACGCUGAUGCACGAAAGUGUGGGUAUCAAACAGG
RNAcentral lists this ribosomal RNA (253 nucleotides) under uncultured bacterium. Its description in RNAcentral is "partial 16S ribosomal RNA". It matches the Rfam family "Bacterial small subunit ribosomal RNA", at positions 524 to 776 of the family's 1533-position model. The record is from RNAcentral.